RNAcentral lists this ribosomal RNA (465 nucleotides) under uncultured bacterium. Its description in RNAcentral is "partial 16S ribosomal RNA". It matches the Rfam family "Bacterial small subunit ribosomal RNA", at positions 338 to 795 of the family's 1533-position model. The record is from RNAcentral.
CCUACGGGUGGCAGCAGUGGGGAAUAUUGCGCAAUGGGCGAAAGCCUGACGCAGCGACGCCGCGUGAGGGAUGAAGGUCUUCGGAUCGUAAACCUCUGUCAGCAGGGAAGAACGGGCACUGUGCUAAUCAGCAUUGAAUUGACGGUACCUGCAAAGGAAGCACCGGCUAACUCCGUGCCCGCAGCCGCUGUAAUACGGCGGGUGCGAGCGUUAAUCGGAAUUACUGGGCGUAAAGCGCUCGUAUGCGGUAUGUCAAGUCAAGGGUGAAAUCCCCGCGCUCAACGUGGGAACUGCCUUUGAAACUGGCAAACUGGAGUGUGUGAGAGGAUAGUGGAAUUCCAGGUGUAGGAGUGAAAUCCGUAGAUAUCUGGAGGAACAUCAGUGGCGAAGGCGACUAUCUGGCACAUAACUGACGCUGAGGAGCGAAAGCGUGGGUAGCAAACAGGAUUAGAUACCCGAGUAGUC